UUUUAUUUUUUUUUGUCCUUCCACAUUUGGAGAGUUUGUUUGCUUGUGUCGGAUAGGAUGUGCUGUCAAGAGUCCAGUUCAGGUCUGACAUAACUCCAUUGACUUACUGUAAUUUCCACAGUCACAAAUGACUCAUAAUGCUCAAUAUUCAAAACAGCCUCCAAAAGCAUGCUGCCCCCCCCACCCCCCCUUGCAAAGCUGGUAUUGCAAGAAUAAUGUAUACUAGCAGAAUUCGAAAAGUUAAUGCAGAACUGAAACACUUUUAUGUCAUUAAAUACUUACUGAAAAGUUAGCACAUUUAUUUGCCUAAUUGAGAGGUCCUGAAAUGACCUACCAGACAGAGUGUAGAAUUUAAUUCCUUUCGGUGAGGAGACAUACUGAAGUUGGUAAGAUUUUGGUUCCUUCCCUUGUUGUUUGAAAAAAGCUUUGCAGGGUCUGGUCAGUUUAGAUUAGCUGCCAUCUUUAGCUAUUUUGGAUUGGUGGGUUUUUUAUAUUAAAAAUAUCACUGUAUUAAGAAAUGUAUUUCAGUAAAUGGUGUGACAGCCUGGAGAAGACAUGGCAUCAGGGGAACCUAACAGCAACCUUUCAACACCUACAGGAUAGUUACUGAGAAGCUGAAGCUGAGGACUCUCUCCUUGUUUCACUGAAGAAGCAGCAUCAGCAUCUGUACUGGUUGUAAAAGCGGCAUUUGUAGUAGUUGUCAAGAAAGCCUGCAAGAGAGAUGGAAGAGAAGAAGAGGUCUUCAGAGAGGAGACAAUUGAUCUGGAAUGGGAACGAGGGAAGACAGCCAUGUGGCCACUUUCCAAACAUGCUUUCAGAAGCUUGGAAAACCUUGGUGUCCAUAUCUGAAAAACAUCAUUCCACACCCUCCGAUAAGCUAUAUGCAACCCCCAGUCCUGGAAGCUAAUCUGUGGGAAUGAACUCUGGUGUCCCUGUGGAGCCUCAAGGUCAGAGCCUUAGGAAAAGAGUAACAACGGAAGUGCCUCCAGGAUAUGGACAGCAUUUUGCCAAGAGUAGCAAAAGAAACUAUAAUGUUUAAACCAAAAAUGAAAUUUGAAUAGCAGGCACUUUUAUUGAACAAUUGUACAGAUUUCAAAACCAAGUAAUCUCUGCAUUUACCCUCCCCUUUUUCUGUUUUCCUUUGAAGUUUAUUUUCUGUUUAAACAAACUUGCUUACUUCCCAGAAAUUCUUUCCUCUUUUCUAUAAGUAGAUUCAUGAAGCAGAAAUUAUGUCUUCAUGUUACACAAACUCUACACCCUUUGAGUUUUAUUGCACUGCCAGUAGUUUGGUCUCACUGAGAUGUUCGGUUACAGGAAGAUAUGGGGCUCUGGUUCUGAUUGAUGGCAAUUUAUUACCUGUUUUAUUGUUGCCUUUCACUCUGUAAUUUUAAAGGUAAGAUGAAAUGAUUUCCUAAGGAAGGUCUGUGCUUGGACUUGUGUUCCCAGUCCUUUGGGAUGCCCAGCAUCCUCAAAGUCUUGUAUACCCAAGCGAGCAUCGAGUACAUCUAACAUAAGAUUGUGUUUGAGGCAAGGGCUGAAUGUCUUGCGAAAAUAAAGAAAACUUCACCUUAAGUUCUUCCAGGCCUGUCAAAGAAUGGUUAAUGUUUUAACUCAGAAGAUACUUCCCAGCAUUUGCUGUGUGGGUAAUGUCAAGCUAUGCAGUUC
This is a long non-coding RNA of Pezoporus occidentalis (night parrot), 1665 nucleotides long. RefSeq lists it as uncharacterized. The transcript is spliced from 4 exons. The record is from RefSeq and is a predicted model, not a curated record. NCBI's taxonomy places the organism in Eukaryota, Metazoa, Chordata, Aves, Psittaciformes, Psittacidae.